UGUUGAAAAACUAGUUCCCGUAUGAUCAUUGAAGUUAAUCAAUGUCAAGCCUGGUCAGUACCUGGAUGGGUGACCACUUGGGAAUACCAAGUGCUGUAAG
This is a non-coding RNA of Acanthosepion pharaonis, 100 nucleotides long. NCBI's taxonomy places the organism in Eukaryota, Metazoa, Mollusca, Cephalopoda, Sepiida, Sepiidae. The record is from the annotation of a GenBank genome assembly.